RNAcentral lists this ribosomal RNA (478 nucleotides) under uncultured organism. RNAcentral describes it as "partial 16S ribosomal RNA". It matches the Rfam family "Bacterial small subunit ribosomal RNA", at positions 330 to 799 of the family's 1533-position model. The record is from RNAcentral.
CGUACACUCCUACGGGAGGCAGCAGUGGGGAAUAUUACACAAUGGGCGCAAGCCUGAUGCAGCCAUGCCGCGUGUAUGAAGAAGGCCUUCGGGUUGUAAAGUACUUUCAGCGGGGAGGAAGGCAAUACGGUUAAUAACCGUGUUGAUUGACGUUACCCGCAGAAGAAGCACCGGCUAACUCCGUGCCAGCAGCCGCGGUAAUACGGAGGGUGCAAGCGUUAAUCGGAAUUACUGGGCGUAAAGCGCACGCAGGCGGUCUGUCAAGUCGGAUGUGAAAUCCCCGGGCUCAACCUGGGAACUGCAUUCGAAACUGGCAGGCUUGAGUCUUGUAGAGGGGGGUAGAAUUCCAGGUGUAGCGGUGAAAUGCGUAGAGAUCUGGAGGAAUACCGGUGGCGAAGGCGGCCCCCUGGACAAAGACUGACGCUCAGGUGCGAAAGCGUGGGGAGCAAACAGGAUUAGAAACCCCAGUAGUCCCAUG